ACGUAUGGUGCAAGCGUUAUCCGGAUUUACUGGGUGUAAAGGGAGCGUAGACGGCUGUGUAAGUCUGAAGUGAAAGCCCGGGGCUCAACCCCGGGACUGCUUUGGAAACUAUGCGGCUAGAGUGUCGGAGAGGUAAGUGGAAUUCCCAGUGUAGCGGUGAAAUGCGUAGAUAUUGGGAGGAACACCAGUGGCGAAGGCGGCUUACUGGACGAUGACUGACGUUGAGGCUCGAAAGCGUGGGGAGCAAACAG
RNAcentral lists this ribosomal RNA (251 nucleotides) under uncultured bacterium. RNAcentral's name for it is "partial 16S ribosomal RNA". It matches the Rfam family "Bacterial small subunit ribosomal RNA", at positions 525 to 775 of the family's 1533-position model. The record is from RNAcentral.